GAUGAAGAACGCAGCGAAAUGCGAUAAGUAGUGUGAAUUGCAGAAUUCAGUGAAUCAUCGAAUCUUUGAACGCACAUUGCGCCCUUUGGUAUUCCAAAGGGCAUGCCUGUUCGAGCGUCAUUUGUACCCUCAAGCUUUGCUUGGUGUUGGGCGUCUUGUCUCUAGCUUUGCUGGAGACUCGCCUUAAAGUAAUUGGCAGCCGGCCUACUGGUUUCGGAGCGCAGCACAAGUCGCACUCUCUAUCAGCAAAGGUCUAGCAUCCACUAAGCAUUUUUUUCAACUUUUGACCUCGGAUCAGGUAGGGAUACCCGCUGAACUUAAGCAUAUCAAUAAGCGGAGGA
RNAcentral lists this unclassified non-coding RNA (341 nucleotides) under soil metagenome. RNAcentral describes it as "partial contains 5.8S ribosomal RNA, internal transcribed spacer 2, and large subunit ribosomal RNA". The stretch from base 1 to 120 matches the Rfam family "5.8S ribosomal RNA", at positions 35 to 154 of the family's 154-position model. The record is from RNAcentral.